GAUGAACGCUGGCGGCGUGCCUAAUACAUGCAAGUCGAGCGAACAGACGAGGAGCUUGCUCCUUCGACGUUAGCGGCGGACGGGUGAGUAACACGUAGGUAACCUACCUAUAAGACUGGGAUAACUUCGGGAAACCGGAGCUAAUACCGGAUAAUAUUUCGAACCGCAUGGUUCGAUAGUGAAAGAUGGCUUUGCUAUCACUUAUAGAUGGACCUGCGCCGUAUUAGCUAGUUGUUAAGGUAACGGCUUACCAAGGCAGCGAUACGUAGCCGACCUGAGAGGGUGAUCGGCCACACUGGAACUGAGACACGGUCCAGACUCCUACGGGAGGCAGCAGUAGGGAAUCUUCCGCAAUGGGCGAAAGCCUGACGGAGCAACGCCGCGUGAGUGAUGAAGGUCUUCGGAUCGUAAAACUCUGUUAUUAGGGAAGAACAAACGUGUAAGUAACUGUGCACGUCUUGACGGUACCUAAUCAGAAAGCCACGGCUAACUACGU
RNAcentral lists this ribosomal RNA (496 nucleotides) under uncultured bacterium. Its description in RNAcentral is "partial 16S ribosomal RNA". It matches the Rfam family "Bacterial small subunit ribosomal RNA", at positions 28 to 506 of the family's 1533-position model. The record is from RNAcentral.